GUCGGACAUGUUUUCUCUGCCAUUGCGCUUUGCGCAGUCCACGUUUUGUGUCAAUGGGAGAGGUCAAUGGUUUAUAAUUUGCGAGCUAGUUUUUGAUAAUUGUCUGACGAAUUUGAGUAAAUAGAAAAAAUUUUUUCAUACUGGUGAAAAAAGCAUUUAAUUGUCCCCUUAGCCAAAUAGGGACGGGUGCAUCGAGGAAAAGAAGAAAAAAGCAUCUUUAAGCAAUUCAUAAAAACAACAUCAAUCUGAGAUACAAGGAACAUGGGGAAACAUGAAGUAGGUACCCCAAAAUAUAUUGCCAACAAGAUCAAGGCAAAAGGCUUGCAAAAGUUAAGGUGGUACUGUCAGAUGUGUCAAAAGCAAUGCCGGGAUGAAAAUGGAUUUAAAUGUCACACCAUGUCGGAGUCGCACCAUCGUCAACUUUUGCUGUUUGCUGAAAACGCGCACCGGUACAUGGAUCAGUUUUCUAGAGAUUUUUCACAGGGAUAUCUAAAUUUAUUGAAGAGGCAAUUUGGCACUAGACGAGUGCCGGCGAAUCGAGUGUACCAGGAAUACAUUUCUGACAGAGGACAUAUACACAUGAAUGCAACUCAGUGGCUUACUUUGACAGCAUUUGCAAAAUGGCUUGGACGUACUGGACAGUGCGUUGUCGAUGAAACUGAAAAAGGUUUGUUUAUAACAUACAUCGAUAGAGACCCUGAGACACUCGCUGCACAGGAAAAAAAAGCAAAGAAAGAAAAAAUGGACAAAGAUGAUGAGGAGCGACUUAUGGAUUUCAUUGACAAGCAAAUAGAAAAGGCAAAACAAAGUACAAAUGAAGAGGAAGGUGAAACGUCUAAGACACCACUGGUGCGCCCUGAGAACGAUACACCUUUGGUUCUCGACAUAAAAUUAAAACCAAAGCCCAAGUUACUUCCUGUAUUUCAAAUAAAACAGGAAAAGGUAAAAAGUGAAGAUCAAAACAAAUCAGUUUCAAGCAAAUUAAUUAGUGAAAAAGAUGAAAAACCAAAAAGAUCCAGUAAUGAUGAUGAAACAAAGUCUGUUAAGAAGUUAAAAAAUGAUAAUUCUCCUGCAACUGAAGGCUGGCUUAGGGAAGGUUUAAUGGUCAAAAUAACCACGAAGAGUCUAGGUGAAAAAUAUUAUAAAGCUAAAGGUGUCGUUCAAUCAGUUGGAACAGACAGUUUUGUUGGUAAAGUAAAAUUGAAAACACCGGAUGAAGUUAACGGACAUGUUAUACGGUUAGAUCAAGAAUACUUGGAAACAGUAAUUCCCGCGAUAGAUAAAGAAGUUCUGAUUCUUUGGGGAAAGCAUAAAGGUGCGAGAGCAAUAGUUAAGAAAUUGCAUAUAGAGCAUUAUAGUGUAGAUGUCGAACUAAAAAAUAAUAAGAAAAUUGUGCAGAAACUUCCAUAUGAACAAGUGUGCAAGUAUAUAGAUUGAGAAAUAAUUGUGUGUGGAGAAAAAGUAUUAGAAAAAAGAUACUGUAUAUUAGUAUUAGUGGUAACAUUCUAUAAUAUAGAUAAUUGCAUUAUCCCGAAGAGCACCUGUGUACAAAUUUAACAGCUGAAUAAGAAGUAUCAACCUUGUACAUAAGGACUUAUUCGUGCAAACUUGUAUAACCACAUAAUAUCACUUAUCCGAGGCAAACUGUACUAGUAAUGAGACCUAAUAUGAUAGUAAUGAGACCAUCUAAUAUGAUAGCCUGAAGUGGUUACUAAGUUGAUAAAUGACUGCUCUUUAUACAAGCUGAAUCAGAAAUUAUAUUUAGACGAAAAUCUGAUCGACACAAAAUGGAAACCUUGCCCAGAAUGUAAGUCAUUCUUGUAAAUUGCACCAACAAUCCUGUAACAUCAAAAAUAUAUAUAAAUAAUUAACAAAGGA
This 1878-nucleotide unclassified non-coding RNA is filed under the name Monomorium pharaonis (pharaoh ant). RNAcentral's name for it is "dNA/RNA-binding protein KIN17, transcript variant X2". Lineage: Eukaryota; Metazoa; Arthropoda; Insecta; Hymenoptera; Formicidae. The record is from RNAcentral.